RNAcentral lists this ribosomal RNA (275 nucleotides) under uncultured cyanobacterium. RNAcentral's name for it is "partial 16S ribosomal RNA". It matches the Rfam family "Bacterial small subunit ribosomal RNA", at positions 494 to 768 of the family's 1533-position model. Lineage: Bacteria; Bacillati; Cyanobacteriota. The record is from RNAcentral.
CGGCUAACUCCGUGCCAGCAGCCGCGGUAAUACGGAGGAUGCAAGCGUUAUCCGGAAUUAUUGGGCGUAAAGCGUCCGCAGGUGGUCUUUCAAGUCUGCUGUCAAAGACCAGAGCUUAACUCUGGGCAGGCGGUGGAAACUGAGAGACUAGAGUUCGGUAGGGGUAGCGGGUAUUCCCAGUGUAGCGGUGAAAUGCGUAGAUAUUGGGAGGAACAUCGGUGGCGAAGGCGUGCUACUGGACCGAAACUGACACUCAGGGACGAAAGCUAGGGUAG